UUACUAAAAGCUUCUAUAUGA
RNAcentral lists this non-coding RNA (21 nucleotides) under Caenorhabditis elegans. The record is from RNAcentral. Lineage: Eukaryota; Metazoa; Nematoda; Chromadorea; Rhabditida; Rhabditidae.